AGUAUGCAACCUGCCUUAUGCAGGGGGAUAGCCCAUGGAAACGUGGAUUAAUACCCCAUAAUAUCGUUGAAUCGCAUGGUUUAACGAUUAAAAUUUCGAUGGCAUAAGAUGGGCAUGCGUCUGAUUAGCUAGUUGGUGAGGUAACAGCUCACCAAGGCGACGAUCAGUAGGGGUUCUGAGAGGAUUAUCCCCCACACUGGUACUGAGACACGGACCAGACUCCUACGGGAGGCAGCAGUGAGGAAUAUUGGCAUCUAAUGGGUCGCGAGCCUGAACCAGCCAUCCCGCGUGCAGGAUGACGGCCCUAUGGGUUGUAAACUGCUUUUCUACGCCAAGAACGGCCCCUACGUGUAGGAGAUUGACGGUAGCGUAGGAAUAAGCAUCGGCUAACUCCGUGCCAGCAGCCGCGGUAAUACGGAGGAUGCAAGCGUUAUCCGGAUUCAUUGGGUUUAAAGGGUGCGCAGGCGGGAAAGUAAGUCAGUGGUGAAAAACUGCCGCUCAACGGUAGUCGUGCCAUUGAUACUGCUUUUCUUGAGUUUGGAUGAGGUAGGCGGAAUGUGCAGUGUAGCGGUGAAAUGCAUAGAUAUUGCACAGAACACCAAUUGCGAAGGCAGCUUACUAAUCCACGACUGACGCUGAGGCACGAAAGCGUGGGGAGCGAACAGGAUUAGAUACCCUGGUAGUCCACGCCGUAAACGAUGUUCACUCGCUGUUUGCGAUACACAGUAAGCGGCUUAGCGAAAGCAUUAAGUGAACCACCUGGGGAGUACGAUCGCAAGGUUGAAACUCAAAGGAAUUGACGGGGGCCCGCACAAGCGGAGGAACAUGUGGUUUAAUUCGAUGAUACGCGAGGAACCUUACCUGGGCUUAAAUGUAGAGUGCAUGCGGUGGAAACACCCUUCCCUUCGGGGCUCUCUGCAAGGUGCUGCAUGGUUGUCGUCAGCUCGUGCCGUGAGGUGUCGGGUUAAGUCCCAUAACGAGCGCAACCCUUACCGUUAGUUGCCAACAGGUUAAGCUGGGGACUCUAGCGGGACUGCCACCGUAAGGUGAGAGGAAGGUGGGGAUGACGUCAAAUCAGCACGGCCCUUAUGUCCAGGGCUACACACGUUGUUACAAUGGCCGGUACAGAGGGCAGCUACCUCCGCGAGGAGAAUGCUAAUCUUGAAAGCCGGUCUCAGUUCGGAUUGGAGUCUGCAACCCGACUCCAUGAAGUUGGAUUCGCUAGUAAUCGUAUAUCAGCAAUGAUACGGUGAAUACGUUCCCGGGCCUUGUACACACCGCCCGUCCAAACCAUGGGAGCUGGGGGUGCCUGAACGUCUGUGACCGCAAGGAGCGGCCGUAAGGUA
Molecule: ribosomal RNA, 1346 nt
Filed under: uncultured bacterium
Lineage: Bacteria
Description: bacterial SSU rRNA
Rfam family: Bacterial small subunit ribosomal RNA
Source: RNAcentral